RNAcentral lists this unclassified non-coding RNA (183 nucleotides) under uncultured Sebacinaceae. RNAcentral's name for it is "sequence contains ITS1". Lineage: Eukaryota; Fungi; Basidiomycota; Agaricomycetes; Sebacinales; Sebacinaceae. The record is from RNAcentral.
AUGAUUGCGAAUGGGUCGCCUUCGGUGCUGGCUCCUUGAGGAGCAAAGUGCACGUUGGUGGCUUUCAUCCAAUACACCCUUGUGAACCUUUUGGCCUCUUGCUAGCUUCGGCUGGCAGAGGAUUUUUUUACACACACACUCGAAUGUAAUGAAAAACUAUUGUCGUGCGCAAGCACUAAUGUA